AUUGAACGCUGGCGGCAGGCCUAACACAUGCAAGUCGAGCGGAUGAAGGGAGCUUGCUCCUGGAUUCAGCGGCGGACGGGUGAGUAAUGCCUAGGAAUCUGCCUUGUAGUGGGGGAUAACGUCCGGAAACGGGCGCUAAUACCGCAUACGUCCUGAGGGAGAAAGUGGGGGAUCUUUGGACCUCACGCUAUCAGAUGAGACUAGGUCGGAUUAGCUAGUUGGUGGGGUAAAGGCCUACCAAGGCGACGAUCCGUAACUGGUCUGAGAGGAUGAUCAGUCACACUGGAACUGAGACACGGUCCAGACUCCUACGGGAGGCAGCAGUGGGGAAUAUUGGACAAUGGGCGAAAGCCUGAUCCAGCCAUGCCGCGUGUGUGAAGAAGGUCUUCGGAUUGUAAGGCACUUUAAGUUGGGAGGAAGGGCAGUAAGUUAAUACCUUGCUGUUUUGACGUUACCAACAGAAUAAGCACCGGCUAACUUCGUG
This 484-nucleotide ribosomal RNA is filed under the name uncultured bacterium. Its description in RNAcentral is "partial 16S ribosomal RNA". It matches the Rfam family "Bacterial small subunit ribosomal RNA", at positions 30 to 507 of the family's 1533-position model. The record is from RNAcentral.